UGGUUUUUUUUCUUUCCCUUUUUAAAGGUAAAAUUGCACCAUCCUGGAAAUAGUUAUCUCAGGGUAUUAGGAAUUAUUUUUUAAAACAUUCACCUCUCAAAAUUCCUUCACUGGGCCUGGCAGCUCACACCAUGACUGUAUUUCUCUUUAGAGCUGCAUUUUCAAUACAUUUUAUUGAUGUAUAUUUGAUUUACAAUUUUGUGUUAGUUUCAGGUGUACAGCAGGGUGAUUCAGUAUAUAUAUAUUUUUUUUCUUUUUCAGAUUCUUUUCCACUGUAGGUUAUUACAAGAAAUUGAAUAUAGUUCCUUGUGAUAUACAAACAUUGUAAAGCUGAUAGAAAGAAAACAAGCAGGAGGGAAUUCUCCUAAACUCAUUCUAUGAAGCCACCAUCAGUCUGAUACCAAAAACAGGCAAAGACACCACCAAGAAAGAGAAUUAAAGACCAAUAUCACAGAAGAACAUAGAUGCAAAAAAUCCUCAAGGAAAUACUACCAAAUAGAAUGCAACAGCACAUAAAAAAAGAUCAUACAUUAUGAUCAAUUUGGGUUCAUCCCAGGGACACAAGUGUGGUUCAACACAUAGAAAUCAAUGUAAUAAUUCACAACAACAAGAGAAAGGACUAAAACCACAUGAUAAUCUCAAUAGAUGCAGAAAACACACUUAAUAAAAUUCAACGGAGAACUAUAAAACAUUGAUGAAGGAAAUUAAAGAAGUUUCUAAAAAAUGGAAAGAUACCCCAUGCUCCUGGAUUGGAAAAAUCAAUAUUGUUGAAAUGGUCAUACUGCCCAAAGCAAUGUACAGAUUUAAUGUGAUCUCUAUCAGAUUACACAGGACUUUUUUUUUUUAAAUAGAAUUUGAACAAAUAAUCUUAAAUUUAUAUGGAACCACAAAAGACCCAGAAUUGCCAAAGCAAAAAUGAAGAAAAAGAAUGAAGCUGGAGAAAUAACCCUCCCAGACUUCAGACAACACUACAGAACUACAGUCAUCAGGACAGAAUGUUAUUGACAUAAACACAGGCUUAUGGAUCAAUGGAACAGACUAGAAAGCCCAAAAAUAAACCCACAGACCUACAGUCAAUUAGUCUUUGACAAAGAUAGGCAAGAAAAUACAGUGAUUAAAGACAGUCUCUUCAGCAAAUGGUGUUGGGAACACCGGACAGCAACAUGCAAAUCAAUGAAGUUCGAACUCCCACACGCCAUACACAAAAAUAAACUCAAAAUGUCUUAAAGAAUUAAAUAUAAGGCAAGACACUGUAAAUCUCCUAGAAGAAAACAUAGACAAAAUAUUCUCUGACAUAAAUCUUAGCAAUGUCCUCAUAGGGCAGUCUACCCAAGCAAUAGAACACCUAGAAACCUCUUCAUUCCACGAUUCCACAGUGUUCAAAACAGUAAUUCACUUGUGCAGCUGGGUAAUAAGCCACAGCUGCCAGACCACUGGACUUUUCUAGAUUUCUUGUAAUGUCAAAGAAAUCCAGAAAAGUCAUUUGCUAUUUGAAGAAAUCUUUGUUAUCUCAUUUUACAGUUAAAAUUUUUUAUUCCAUUUUUCUAAAAUUCAAAACUUCUGAUUAUAUUAAUGCAUAAUCAUACAGACACACUUGUCAGGUGUACAGACUACACUUUUUUCUUAUCAUUAUAAACAAAGUUCAAUUAAUCAAGAAGUUACAAUGAAUUACAAAUUAUGUCCUAGGACAUGAAGCAGAUACAAAACAUGUGAAAAAGAGCAAUCUUUAUGAUAAUUUGGAAUCUAGCUGGAGACAUAAGUACUAUGUUGUGCCAUCAAACAAUUACUUGGUUUUGUGUUAUAUUCCAGAUAUAUAAAGGAAGUACCAAGAGAAGAAAUCUUGUGUGACUUGAAACAUUACAUAGCUUUGCACCUGAAGGACACUCAGUAAAAACUAAAUGAGGGAACAAAUGAAUGAACAAGAAAAACCAGCAUAGCUGUGCAGAUACAUAGGCUUGAGCAGGGUUUUCAACAACCAGCAACACAAAAUCUGCUCCUCGCCAAAGAAAAGCCCUCAAGUCUAAAUACACACCUGAAAUAUUUCAUUGAGUCUAAAGGCACAUAUCUGUUUUCAUGUCUCAGCUUCUCAGAAAUUGAUGAGAUGCCAUAAUUUAAAGUGGGGCAUUUUUUCUUUCUAAUAGUUAAAAUAAAUGUGUAUCUCAAGCAUCUUAAAUUUGAUCAAACAUAUUGAUUGACUCUAAACAAAUGUUAUUGUAUGUAAUAUGAUUUCAAAAUUAAUCACUUAAUACAUGUAAAUUUAUAUACCUUAUUAUAACUUUUAUUAUACAUAACAGCUCAAAAACUUAACGAAAGCCAAUGAAAAAUUGUGAUGUCAAAUCCUGUAAGAUCUAAUUCUUAAAGUUUCAAAACAUAAAACAACAAAAUUACAACCACUACAAACUCAUACAGCACAUCUUAAAAUCUAGAGCAUGCAGAAUCUGCAAUGUUACUGCAAACGGUGCUGUGAGGUAAAUAACUGCAGAUACUGUAAACAAACCUGUUAUAGAAAUACGGAAGAUAUUCUUCCCAUUUUACACUAAAAGGUGGAAAGCUGGGGAAAAGAAAAUAAUUUUUGUUGCUAUAAUUUUAUCUAUAAAUAAAAGAAUAAAAUACUGAC
Molecule: long non-coding RNA, 2617 nt
Organism: Camelus dromedarius (Arabian camel)
Lineage: Eukaryota; Metazoa; Chordata; Mammalia; Artiodactyla; Camelidae
Exons: 2
Source: RefSeq, a predicted model, not a curated record